Molecule: ribosomal RNA, 960 nt
Filed under: Ciona intestinalis (vase tunicate)
Lineage: Eukaryota; Metazoa; Chordata; Ascidiacea; Phlebobranchia; Cionidae
Description: bacterial SSU rRNA
Rfam family: Eukaryotic small subunit ribosomal RNA
Source: RNAcentral
CUUGUCUCAAAGAUUAAGCCAUGCAAGUCUAAGUACGAGCUCUCGUACAGCGAAACUGCGAAUGGCUCAUUAAAUCAGUUAUGGUUCAUUUGAUCGUAUGGUUUACUUGGAUAACUGUGGUAAUUCUAGAGCUAAUACAUGCAAACAGCGCCGACUUCGCGGGAGGCGUGCUUUUAUCAGACCAAAAACCGACCGCGGCUCCGGCCGCGUUCGACUGGUGACUCUGGAUAACCUGGCGGAUCGCACGGUCUAGCACCGGCGACGGAUCAUUCAAGUGUCUGCCCUAUCAACUUUCGUCGGUACGGUAUUCGCCUACCGAGGUUCUUACGGGUAACGGGGAAUCAGGGUUCGAUUCCGGAGAGGGAGCCUGAGAAACGGCUACCACAUCCAAGGAAGGCAGCAGGCGCGCAAAUUACCCAUUCCCGACGCGGGGAGGUAGUGACGAAAAAUAACAAUGCAGGACUCAUUCGAGGCCCUGUAAUUGGAAUGAGUACACUUUAAAAGCUUUAACGAGUAUCCAUUGGAGGGCAAGUCUGGUGCCAGCAGCCGCGGUAAUUCCAGCUCCAAAAGUAUAUAUUUAAGUUGUUGCGGUUGAAAAGCUCGUAGUUGGAUUUUGGGCGCGGGCGGUCGGUCCGUCGCGAGGCGUGUACUGGUCGACCCGGCCUUACGUCCGGUUCUCCGGCGGUGCUCUUGACUGAGUGUCGGCGGCGGCCGGAAAGUUUACUUUGAAAAAAUUAGAGUGUUCAAAGCAGGCUCUCGAGCCUGAAUAAUGGUGCAUGGAAUAAUGGAAUAGGACCUCGGUUCUAUUUUGUUGGUUUUCGGAGCGCGUGGAUAUGGUAGAUGAACCUUCGGUAAUGGACGGACUGCCAGAAGAAAUCCUAGAAAAGAUUUUCCGCUUUUUGUGUCCUUACCAAGAAUUUGAUGUUGCCGCCCUCGUGUGUAAGAGGUGGCAUCGAAUUA